AGCUCGGCAUUUAUAGGGGUUACAGAUACUAAACAUAUACGUGCGGGAAAAGACUCCGUAAUUACAUGUAUUUACUUUUGAAACACGUGGUCGUCUUUUGGUUGUUUUUAACAGCCUACGGCUGUGAUCAUGAUGGUCAAUGUGACGACAGGGUUUACUGUCCAAGUGGUCAGGUUGAAGCUUGCUCAUACAGACAGUGUACAUGUAAAGUAGGGACAAGAUGCUUGUUUGAUCGUAACUGCAAAGACGACUGCUACCGAAACCAAACCCCUGACUGUCGCUGGUUUAGAUGUUAUUGUCAUAAUACUAAAUAAACAAGACAAACGUUUUG
Molecule: long non-coding RNA, 331 nt
Organism: Saccostrea cuccullata (small rock oyster)
Lineage: Eukaryota; Metazoa; Mollusca; Bivalvia; Ostreida; Ostreidae
Exons: 3
Source: RefSeq, a predicted model, not a curated record